ACUUUGCCGGAUUAGCUGAGAGGUGGUGCAUGGCCGUCGUCCAGUUCGUACUGUGAAGCAUCCUGUUAAGUCAGGCAACGAGCGAGACCCACGCCCACAGUUGCCAGCGUACUCUCCGGAGUGACGGGUACACUGUGGGGACCGCCGCUGCUAAAGCGGAGGAAGGAAUGGGCAACGGUAGGUCAGUAUGCCCCGAAUAUCCCGGGCUACACGCGAGCUACAAUGGUUGGUACAAUGGGUAUCUACCCCGAAAGGGGACGGGAAUCUCCUAAAACCAAUCUUAGUUCGGAUUGAGGGCUGCAACUCGCCCUCAUGAAGCUGGAAUCCGUAGUAAUCGCGUUUCAACAGAACGCGGUGAAUACGUCCCUGCUCCUU
This 375-nucleotide ribosomal RNA is filed under the name uncultured Methanosaeta sp. RNAcentral describes it as "bacterial SSU rRNA". It matches the Rfam family "Archaeal small subunit ribosomal RNA", at positions 965 to 1338 of the family's 1478-position model. The record is from RNAcentral. Lineage: Archaea; Methanobacteriati; Methanobacteriota; Methanomicrobia; Methanotrichales; Methanotrichaceae.